This 253-nucleotide ribosomal RNA is filed under the name uncultured bacterium. Its description in RNAcentral is "partial 16S ribosomal RNA". It matches the Rfam family "Bacterial small subunit ribosomal RNA", at positions 524 to 776 of the family's 1533-position model. The record is from RNAcentral.
UACGUAGGUGGCAAGCGUUAUCCGGAAUUAUUGGGCGUAAAGCGCGCGUAGGCGGUUUUUUAAGUCUGAUGUGAAAGCCCACGGCUCAACCGUGGAGGGUCAUUGGAAACUGGAAAACUUGAGUGCAGAAGAGGAAAGUAGAAUUCCAUGUGUAGCGGUGAAAUGCGCAGAGAUAUGGAGGAACACCAGUGGCGAAGGCGACUUUCUGGUCUGUAACUGACGCUGAUGUGCGAAAGCGUGGGGAUCAAACAGG